RNAcentral lists this ribosomal RNA (359 nucleotides) under uncultured bacterium. RNAcentral's name for it is "bacterial SSU rRNA". It matches the Rfam family "Bacterial small subunit ribosomal RNA", at positions 32 to 365 of the family's 1533-position model. The record is from RNAcentral.
AAUCAACGCUGGCGGCGUGCCUCAGACAUGCAAGUCGAACGCGAAAUUUCCCUUCGGGGAGAAAGUAGAGUGGCGCACGGGUGAGUAACACGUAGGUAAUUUGCCUUUGGGUGGGGAAUAACUCAGGGAAACUUGAGCUAAUACCGCAUAAUGCAGCGGCUCGACAUCGAGACAGUUGUUAAAGCGGGGGAUUGGAGCAAUCCGACCUCGCGCCUAAAGAGAAGCCUGCGGCAGAUUAGCUAGUUGGUAAGGUAAUGGCUUACCAAGGCGACGAUCUGUAACCGGCCUGAGAGGGCGGUCGGUCACACUGACACUGACAUACGGGUCAGACUCCUACGGAGGCAGCAGUCGGGAAUUUU